RNAcentral lists this ribosomal RNA (274 nucleotides) under uncultured bacterium. Its description in RNAcentral is "partial 16S ribosomal RNA". It matches the Rfam family "Bacterial small subunit ribosomal RNA", at positions 523 to 796 of the family's 1533-position model. The record is from RNAcentral.
AUACGGAGGGUCCGAGCGUUAUCCGGAAUCAUUGGGUUUAAAGGGUCCGUAGGCGGGAAUCUAAGUCAGUGGUGAAAUCUUGCAGCUCAACUGUAAAAUUGCCAUUGAUACUGGAUUUCUUGAAUUAGUGUGAAGUGGUUAGAAUGUGUGGUGUAGCGGUGAAAUGCAUAGAUAUUACACAGAAUACCAAUUGCGAAGGCAGAUCACUAACACUAUAUUGACGCUGAGGGACGAAAGCGUGGGGAGCGAACAGGAUUAGAAACCCCGGUAGUCC